CGUGAGCGACCUUGCCUCGUGGUGGGGGAUAGCCGGCCCAACGGCCGGGUAAUACCGCAUAGGGUAGUUUCUUCGCAUGGGGAGACUAGCAAAGCCCUGGAGCAAUCCAGUGGCGCCACAGGGGGGCUCGCGGCCUAUCAGCUAGUUGGGGGGGUAAUGGCCCACCAAGGCGACGACGGGUAGCUGGUCUGAGAGGAUGGCCAGCCACAUUGGGACUGAGAGACGGCCCAG
RNAcentral lists this ribosomal RNA (231 nucleotides) under uncultured bacterium. Its description in RNAcentral is "partial 16S ribosomal RNA". It matches the Rfam family "Bacterial small subunit ribosomal RNA", at positions 116 to 334 of the family's 1533-position model. The record is from RNAcentral.